This 2031-nucleotide unclassified non-coding RNA is filed under the name uncultured fungus. RNAcentral describes it as "sequence contains 18S rRNA gene, ITS1, 5.8S rRNA gene, ITS2, 28S rRNA gene". The stretch from base 884 to 2031 matches the Rfam family "Eukaryotic large subunit ribosomal RNA", at positions 1 to 961 of the family's 3401-position model. Lineage: Eukaryota; Fungi. The record is from RNAcentral.
GGAGGGAUCAUUAACACGAUUCUUAAAUCGUUUUCUAUUUCCAACCAACCGCGUGAAUUAAUUGAAUCAACAACAACCUGACCUAUUAGAACUAGAUCUGCUUGGAAGGCACGGAGUGAUGAGUAUGUCUAAUGUGGCUUGCUACAUUCUUCAUACGGUGUCCCCAAGCUACGUAUUGCAAAUACAUGCAUUUUACUAUGUAUGUAUUUGACUUCACAGGAUCUCUUUCUCUUAGGCUUUUAACUAUUUUAGUUCCCUUCAUCGCUGGAACGCAAACACCCCUUUCACCACUAUAACUAAUCGACUGAUAUUGCGUAUCCUUUGCAUAGUAGUAAAAUACUGUGUGAAUUGUAUGCAAACCUAAUUAAUCAAAUAUCUAGCACAACUCUUAGCAACGGAUAUCUUGGUUCUCGCAACGAUGAAGAACGCAGCGAAAUGCGAUAUGUAAUGCGAAUUGCAGAAUUCAGUGAAUCAUCAAAUCUUUGAACGCAAAUGGCGGUCUCGGGUUAGUCCUGAGACCACGCCUCUCUCAGUAUCGGUUCAACCUAACAUCGGAUGCGUAUAUACAUUUUACUAUGUAUAUACUUACUGCCGGAUAAUGAGAGUAAUAUUGCUUUUAAUUAAGCGGUAUUUCUCUUGAAAUGAGUUGAGCUACUAGAUGCUCCUAGUACCCUUGCAGAGCAAUCUGCAAUAGCACUAUUGUUUAGUGUGAAACUUACUAGUGAACGUGGAUAAUUUCAUGCUUUCGGGUGUGGAUUGAAACGUCUCACAACGUGUAAGCUUCAUACUGGCAGUAGCGUGAAGAAUACUAGGUAUAAAUGGCAUCUAAACUUUAACAGCGAAUCGAAUUACCAAUUUAGCAUUAAUUUGCUACUUUCGAAUUAGAUCUGAGAUGAAGCGAGGAGACCCCCUGAAUUUAAGCAUAUUAUUAAGGGGAGGAAAAGGAACUAACAAGGAUUCCCCCAGUAACGGCGAGUGAAGCGGGAUGAGCUCAAGUUGAGAAUCGGUGAUCCAUGCGGGUCGUUCCGAAUUGUACCCUAGAGACGUGUGAUCAGCGUGUGACCCAGGUGUAAGUCCUUUGGAAGAAGGCAUCAGAGAGGGUGAGAAUCCCGUCCACAACCUGGAGUUUCGCCGCGUACGAUGCAUGUUCACAGAGUCGAGUUGUUUGGGAUUGCAGCUCUAAAACGGUGGUAAGGUUCAUCGAAAGCUAAAUACAGGCGAGAGACCGAUAGCGAACAAGUACCGUGAGGGAAAGAUGAAAAGAACUUUGAAAAGAGAGUUAAAAAGUACUUGAAAUUGCUAAGAGGGAAGCGCUAAAAACCAGUGUGACUGCUCCCAUUCUGCCUAUCCACCUCUCUGUUUGGCUGCGCUGUCUAGUUGGCAACUCUAGCGGUGUAGUGAAUAAGCGGGGAGUGGGUGGGUCCUGUGGGAGUAGCGCGUCAGGAUCAGUUCGGAUUUUUGUGCAGGAGAGGAUAUGGGUAGAAGGUAGGGUUGGUAACAACCUGUUAUAUCUGCUCGAUUCAACUGUGCUCUGGACUGAGGAAUAAAAGUAAUGGUGCGCCACUACGGCUUGUGCCUCUGUUGCUAUGUGAUACGGAUAGCUUGGAUGACAAUGUCAUGCUGUUGUUCGUGUUGCAUACGCAGUGGAACGCCCCGAUGCACCCAUCACGAUUCUGACUAAAUGGUUUUUAUCGACCAGUCUUGAAACACGGACCAAGGAGUCUAACAUAUAUGCGAGUAUUUGGGUGCUUGAAACCCGCAUGCGCAAUGAAAGUAAAGGUUGGCUUGUUCAACUGAGGUAGGAAACCUGGUGUAAACAGCCGGGUGGCACUAUCGACCGAUCGUCACUUGUGAAAGAUUUGAGUCAGAGCAUAUCUGUUGGGACCCGAAAGAUGGUGAUCUAUGCCUGAACAGGGUGAAGCCAGGGGAAACUCUGGUGGAGGCUCGUAGCGAUACUGACGUGCAAAUCGUUCGUCUGAUUUGGGUAUAGGGGCGAAAGACUAAUCGAACUAUCUAGUAGCUGGUUCCCUC